UAUGUGAAAGUCACUUCCGCGUUACCCGAUCACGUGGUCACGUGACGCAUUUCGCCCCUCCCACGUGAUCGGGUAACUCGGAAGUGACUUUCACAUA
Non-coding RNA from Pelobates cultripes (western spadefoot toad), 97 nucleotides. The record is from the annotation of a GenBank genome assembly. Lineage: Eukaryota; Metazoa; Chordata; Amphibia; Anura; Pelobatidae.